GGUUGUGUAGUUCAGUGGUAGAGCACUUGCUUAGCAUGCAUUAGGCCAUGGGUUCCAUUCCCAACACCACCA
Molecule: transfer RNA, 72 nt
Filed under: Ictidomys tridecemlineatus (thirteen-lined ground squirrel)
Lineage: Eukaryota; Metazoa; Chordata; Mammalia; Rodentia; Sciuridae
Description: Spermophilus tridecemlineatus (thirteen-lined ground squirrel) tRNA
Rfam family: tRNA
About the family: Transfer RNA (tRNA) molecules are approximately 80 nucleotides in length. Their secondary structure includes four short double-helical elements and three loops (D, anti-codon, and T loops).
Source: Rfam by way of RNAcentral